This is a small nuclear RNA of Ailuropoda melanoleuca (giant panda), 162 nucleotides long. Its record names the gene U1. It matches the Rfam family "U1 spliceosomal RNA". From Rfam's summary of the family: U1 is a small nuclear RNA (snRNA) component of the spliceosome (involved in pre-mRNA splicing). Its 5' end forms complementary base pairs with the 5' splice junction, thus defining the 5' donor site of an intron. NCBI's taxonomy places the organism in Eukaryota, Metazoa, Chordata, Mammalia, Carnivora, Ursidae. The record is from Ensembl.
AUACUUACCUGGAAGGGGAGAUACCAUGAUCACAAAAGUGGUUUUCCCAGGGUGAGGCUUAUCCAUUGCAUUCCGGAUGUGCUGACCCCUGCAAUUUCCCCAAAGGUGGGAAACUCGACCUCAGAAUUUGUGGUAGUGGAUGAGUGCAAUUGCACUUUCCCC